Molecule: long non-coding RNA, 1660 nt
Organism: Dermacentor andersoni
Lineage: Eukaryota; Metazoa; Arthropoda; Arachnida; Ixodida; Ixodidae
Source: RefSeq, a predicted model, not a curated record
CGUCACUACUUCGCACCAGUCGAACUGUUAUAUUUGUCGCUGCGGCGGAGCCUCGAAUCGUGAAUCACCAGCCAUGACUGCUGCUAUGUCGGUCUGCCGUCGGGACUGUAGGUGCAAAAGACCGAAUUUUAGGAUAAUCAAGCAAGCUUCAAGACAGGCGAAGCAGUCAGCAUGGCGCGAAGUUUCGCUUACCCAGUGCGACGAACUGCAGCGCGCCACAUGAAAAUGGGCUCUGAAUUUCUAGCUGGAAAUGGUCUUCCCAGCCAGGUUUCCAACUGGAAUCAGCCCUUCCAGAUGGAAAUUUUCCAGAGCCAGCUGGAAAUGGCACUUUCCAGCUUGAAGUGGAAUCCACCUCAGCUAGUUUUCCAGCUAGAAGCAGCACUUCUAGCUGGAAGUUUUCCAGCUUCAGCUGGAAACAACUGGAUACAGCAUUUUUUAGCUGGAAACAGCGCUUCCAACUGGAAACAACUGGAUGGAGCAUUUUCCAGCCGGAAGUAGAAUCUAUCGACUGGAAAGUGGAGCUUCCCACUUGCAUUGCAAUACAUUUUUUGUAUCUGCAACCAUAGCCUCUGCUGCAACAUGUCCAUAUUUAGCCCUAGGUGGUGUUUGUAUCAGAACGAAGAGCUUUUACUCUUGCAGCAGCAGCAAAAAAAAAAAAAAUUUUUUUAUUCGUUUGUGUUGUGACAACAAUCGUAAUUAAUUGCAUGAACUGCAUGGAAAUGCUCGUCACUCAGGGUACCUUUGAUCGCGAUCGAUCGGGAUCGAUUGCAAUCGAAAGUAGGAGUUGCCAAAAAAUAUAUCUCCAGGAAAACUGCCACUUUUAUUGAACCUUACUUGUAGUAGACAAAAGCGACGCGCUCUUGAUCGACACUGUGUUACCUUGCUACACUGUCGACGUCGUCUAGCGAGGAGCUUGCCCGAUUGGUCAUGAUGAGCCGUUGCGCAAACGGCUAGUGUUUACAGCAUAGCAAUUCCUUCCCUAACAAAAAAGAGCCUUAACAUGUGGCACCUUCAGCAGUUAUCAGGCUGCAAUGACCGCUGCUCCUAUCUUUUCCUUCCUGCACGACGCCGCUACAAUCGCCGCCAUUUUUGUUGAAUGCUUAGUAGCUUUAGUCUCGUAUCUUGUCUUGAUGUGCUCUUUUGACACUAAUAAUAAAAUAAUAGCCUGGUAUUGCAAUAUAAGCAUUUCUCGGAAAAGCUCGAAUUUUUAUUCGCAGCAAACAGCAUCAUUACAGAUGCAGCCCGAAUAUAAAAAAUAUGACGACGCCACAGUGGCCCUAGUUUCGUACAGCACAUGGCGGAAUCUGUCAUGGCGAGGCAAUUUUGUGAGACAACGAGAGUCUCUCGGGUGUGCGUGUGAUCAAGUUUUUGUGAGGAACCUGCAUGAUCUUGCGCAUGAAGUAAAUAUUUUUGGACAGUUUCUUCUCUGGACGGCGUUACAAGUACAGGCAAGCGGGUAUCAACGGUUGUUAUUGCUGUACUUUGUGGUGUUGUGAUUCACCAGUGCGGAUCGAAGAGCACCGUUUUCUCCAGCCCGGAUUCUACAAUUUGGAGAUGGUGUACAAGGCGAUGUGCAAGUGCAUUUCACACCUUGGGGAGCUACAAGAUAUGCUUUCACAAUCCUUGCUGCAAGUGUUCAAAUAAAGGGUUUCAAGUUUCA